This 870-nucleotide ribosomal RNA is filed under the name Triticum aestivum (bread wheat). RNAcentral describes it as "partial small subunit ribosomal RNA". Lineage: Eukaryota; Viridiplantae; Streptophyta; Magnoliopsida; Poales; Poaceae. The record is from RNAcentral.
AUGAAUGCUGGUAAAUUCCAAUCUACAAAAGAUAAAGCGCUUAAGCGGGUUUCAGACCGGAUAGAAAAAUAUGCUUCUAGUGGUGUGAAGGAGCUCCAGAUUAAGUCAGUCGUUCAGUCUCUUCCGGUCUAUGCCAUGGGGAUUUUUAAAUUUCCUGCUUCUAUUUGUGAAGAGUUAUCCCAAAUCAUUAGAAAUUUUUGGUGGGGUGACCAGGAGGAUAGGAAGAAAACUCAUUGGCUAGCAUGGGAUAAGUUGACAAGACCCAAAGGAGAAGGAGGUAUGGGCUUUAGAGAUUUGAGAUUAUUUAAUCAAGCGCUUUUGGCGAAACAGGCUUGGCGUUUAUUGGUCUUUCUGGACUCGUUAUGUGCAAAGGUGAUGAAAGCAAAGUAUUAUCCUCAUGGGCAUUUGCUAGACACUGUAUUCCCUCAGGUGACAUCGACUACUUGGCAAGGUAUUAUGCAUGGUUUUGAGCUGCUGAAAAAGGGGGUCAUUUGGAGAUUUCGCGACGGUGCAAAUAUAAAUAUUUGGAGAGACAAUUGGCUUCCUAGAGAUUCGGGGCUUCAAAUUUCAGCAAAAAAGAACAGAACCAGACUCAAAUGUGUGUCUGAAUUAUUCAUUAGUGGCUCAACAAGAUGGGAUGAGCAUCUUAUUCGGCAUCUAUUCUUUCCACAUGAUGCGGACGAAAUUUUGAAGUUGCGUGUUCUGACUGUCGGUGAUGGAGAUUUCAUUGCUUGGCACUACGAAAAAAAUGGUUUAUUCUCAGUUAAAAGUGCGUAUAAGUUGGCGCUCAAACUUAAGGACUCUAUGAUUGAGUUAGGGAGUUCAAGUGGUGCUGCUAAUGGGGAAAGGAGGCUAUGGAAUAUUAUUUGA